UUCUGGAACCUUUGGUGCUGCUGCUGGCGGUUUCGGUGGUGGUUCUUUUCGUUUCUCAGGUUCCUUAGGCUUUUCGGGUUGUUUAGGUUUCUCGGGUUCUUUGGGUUUUUCGGGUUCUUUCGGCUUUUCGGGUUGUUUAGGUUUCUCGGGUUCUUUGGGUUUUUCGGGUUCUUUUGGUUUUUCGGGUGCUUUAGGCUUUUCGGGUUCUUUUGGUUUUUCUGGUACUUUAGGCUUCUCUGGUUCUUUGGGUUUUUCAGGUUCUUUGGGCUUUUCGGGUUCUUUAGGCUUCUCAGGCUCCUUGGGUUUGGGAGGAGGAGGUGGAGGUUUGAUCUCAAUGCUCUUGAUUGAUCCAGCACCCUUGCAACAUAUCUUGUCCCUCAGCUUCUCAG
Molecule: long non-coding RNA, 389 nt
Filed under: Gossypium raimondii (Peruvian cotton)
Lineage: Eukaryota; Viridiplantae; Streptophyta; Magnoliopsida; Malvales; Malvaceae
Description: long non-coding RNA (GRAI_LNC008644)
Source: RNAcentral